AGUGAACGCUGGCGGUAGGCCUAACACAUGCAAGUCGAACGGCAGCACAGUAAGAGCUUGCUCUUACGGGUGGCGAGUGGCGGACGGGUGAGGAAUACAUCGGAAUCUACUUUUUCGUGGGUGAUAACGUAGGGAAACUUACGCUAAUACCGCAUACGACCUACUGGUGAAUGCAGGGGAUCUUCGGACCUUGCUCGAUUGAAUGAGCCGAUGUCGGAUUAGCUAGUUGGCGGGGUAAAGGCCCACCAAGGCGACGAUCCGUAGCUGGUCUGAGAGGAUGAUCGGCCACAGUGGAACUGAGACACGGUCAAGACUCCUACGGGAGGCAGAGGUGGGGAAUGUUGGACAAUGGGCGCAAGCCUGAUCCAGACAUACCGCGUGGGUGAAGAAGGCCUUCGGGUUGUAAAGCCCUUUUGUUGGGAAAGAAAAGCAGCAGGUUAAUACCCCGCUGUUCUGACGGUACCCAAAGAAUAAGCACCGGCUAACUUCGUG
Molecule: ribosomal RNA, 492 nt
Filed under: uncultured bacterium
Lineage: Bacteria
Description: partial 16S ribosomal RNA
Rfam family: Bacterial small subunit ribosomal RNA
Source: RNAcentral